RNAcentral lists this ribosomal RNA (391 nucleotides) under Liomera venosa. Its description in RNAcentral is "partial small subunit ribosomal RNA". Lineage: Eukaryota; Metazoa; Arthropoda; Malacostraca; Decapoda; Xanthidae. The record is from RNAcentral.
UUAGAUACCCUAUUAUACUGAUGAGGAUAAUGAUAAACCUKRAGUAUUAAUAGAUAUAGUCUUUAAAUUUGAAGAAUUUGGCGGUGAUUUAAUCUUGUUAGAGGAACCUGUUUUUAAAUCGAUAAACCACGUGAAAUCUUACCUGUUUUAAUGAGCUUAUAUACCGUCAUUAUCAGAUAAUUUUAAGAAAAGUAAUUAUUAAAGUUUAAUUAAUUAUAAAUGAAAUUAGAUCAAGGUGUAGCUUAUAAACAGGUUAAAAUGGGUUACAAUAAAAUUUAUUUACUACGGAUUAGUUAUAAAAGAAAAGUACUAUGAAGGAGGAUUUAAUUGUAAUUUAAAUUUAAUAAGUUWAAAAGAUAUAAGCUCUAAAUCAUGUACAUAUCGCCCGUCG